RNAcentral lists this ribosomal RNA (464 nucleotides) under uncultured Klebsiella sp. Its description in RNAcentral is "bacterial SSU rRNA". It matches the Rfam family "Bacterial small subunit ribosomal RNA", at positions 338 to 795 of the family's 1533-position model. Lineage: Bacteria; Pseudomonadati; Pseudomonadota; Gammaproteobacteria; Enterobacterales; Enterobacteriaceae. The record is from RNAcentral.
CCUACGGGGGGCUGCAGUGGGGAAUAUUGCACAAUGGGCGCAAGCCUGAUGCAGCCAUGCCGCGUGUGUGAAGAAGGCCUUCGGGUUGUAAAGCACUUUCAGCGGGGAGGAAGGCGGUGAGGUUAAUAACCUCAUCGAUUGACGUUACCCGCAGAAGAAGCACCGGCUAACUCCGUGCCAGCAGCCGCGGUAAUACGGAGGGUGCAAGCGUUAAUCGGAAUUACUGGGCGUAAAGCGCACGCAGGCGGUCUGUCAAGUCGGAGGUGAAAUCCCCGGGCUCAACCUGGGAACUGCAUUCGAAACUGGCAGGCUAGAGUCUUGUAGAGGGGGGUAGAAUUCCAGGUGUAGCGGUGAAAUGCGUAGAGAUCUGGAGGAAUACCGGUGGCGAAGGCGGCCCCCUGGACAAAGACUGACGCUCAGGUGCGAAAGCGUGGGGAGCAAACAGGAUUAGAUACCCCUGUGUC